AUAUGAAUAUUCAGUGAGUGGCUUUGCAUUAAGUAAGUGCCCUUAAUCAGCUUUUCAGUUCAGUUUUAUUGGUUGCACGCACAGUCAGUUAUUUCAUCCAGAAAAUCUGAAGGCCCUACAAACUAACCAGGUACAAUAUUGAAGAAAAGCAAGUGAUGCUGGGGCAUGUUCACCAUUGCCCAUAGGUUCUGA
RNAcentral lists this long non-coding RNA (192 nucleotides) under Felis catus (domestic cat). Its description in RNAcentral is "lncRNA (ENSFCAG00000049452.1)". Lineage: Eukaryota; Metazoa; Chordata; Mammalia; Carnivora; Felidae. The record is from RNAcentral.